GAUGAACGCUGUCGGCUUGCCUAAUACAUGCAAUUCGAGCGAACCGACCAGGAGCUUGCUCCUCUGACUUUAGCGCCGGACGGGUGAGUAACACGUUUAUUACCUACCUAUAAGACUGGGUUCACUUCUGGAAACCGUAGCUCAUACCGGAUCAUUUAUUUUUUCGCAUGGUUCCAUAGUGAACGACGCUUUUGCUGUCACUUAUAGAUGGAUCCGUGCCGCAUUAGUUAGUUGGUAAGGUAACGGGUUACCAAGGCAACGAUUCUUAACCGACAUGAUAGAGUGAUCGGCGACACUGGAACUUAAACAAGGUCCAUACUCCUACGGGAGACAGCAGUACGCAAUAUUACACAAUAGACGAAAGCCACACGCAGCAACGCCACGUGAGUGAUGAAGAUCUUCGGAUCGUAAAACUCUGUUAUUAGUGAAGAACAAAUGUAUAAAUAACUAUGCACGUCUUGACGGUACCUAAUCAGAAAGCCACGGCUAACUACAUG
Molecule: ribosomal RNA, 497 nt
Filed under: uncultured bacterium
Lineage: Bacteria
Description: partial 16S ribosomal RNA
Rfam family: Bacterial small subunit ribosomal RNA
Source: RNAcentral